This 735-nucleotide long non-coding RNA is filed under the name Fukomys damarensis (Damara mole-rat). RNAcentral describes it as "lncRNA (ENSFDAG00000023535.1)". Lineage: Eukaryota; Metazoa; Chordata; Mammalia; Rodentia; Bathyergidae. The record is from RNAcentral.
CUGGUCCAGCUUAUAUCCAGCUAGGAAGUGUUAAGGUAGUCAGAUUUCUUAUAUGACAUCUGGCUUUCCCUGGACUGAACAUCCCGAGUAGUGGGUGAAAGUGUGGCCUUUUUGACUUACCUGUGGAAGUCACAUAACAUCAUUUCCACCAUAUUUUACUGAUCAGAGCAGUCAAAAACCCAACUAGAUUCAAAGGGAAGGGAAAAUAUCCUACCUCUUAAUGUCAGGAGGGUGGAAGAAUUUGAGUGCCAUGUUUUAAAACUGCUAGAGGUAUGUAAUUAUCCCUGUUUUAUAGAUAAGCAAACUAAGAUCACAGAGCAAGUGAUAGACUUAGAAUUCAACUCAAGCAGCCUGACUCCAGAGCAGAGAAGGAAGAUGCAACAGCACUACCUCCCACGAAAGUAGGGGGAAGAGACAGAUCUCCCAAGAAAGCCUCAGAAAAUGUUAAAGACGGCAGCCUCAGCCCCUCAGGGCAAAGCCAGCUGAGGGCAAGGCAGCUGGCUCUGCUGCGCGAAGUGGAGAUGAACUGGUACUUAAAGCUCUGCGACUUGUCCACUGAGCACACCACCGCCUACGCGACGGGCAUGCCGCACAGCACUGUCACUGUGACCCAGUGUGGCUGACAUAAAUCCAAAGACCUGAAAUAUCGAGUAAUGAAUGGAAACCAGCGACAAGUGAAAAUGUGAAGAGUAAGUGAUCAUUUUGCUCUGUGCAGUGUUGUAACUUCCAUACUUC